GCACAAGCGGUGGAGUAUGUGGUUUAAUUCGAUGCAACGCGAAGAACCUUACCUGGUCUUGACAUCCCAGAAAUCCCUUGGAAACUUGGGAGUGCUUUCCAUUAGGAAGAAUCUGGAGACAGGUGCUGCAUGGCUGUCGUCAGCUCGUGUCGUGAGAUGUUGGGUUAAGUCCCGCAACGAGCGCAACCCUUGCCUUUAGUUGCCAGCAGUUCGGCUGGGCACUCUAAAGGGACUGCCGGUGUUAAACCGGAGGAAGGUGGGGAUGACGUCAAGUCCUCAUGGCCUUUAUGACCAGGGCUACACACGUACUACAAUGGCCGAUACAAAGGGCAGCGACAUCGCGAGGUGAAGCCAAUCCCAUAAAAUCGGUCUCAGUCCGGAUUGGAGUCUGCAACUCGACUCCAUGAAGUUGGAAUCGCUAGUAAUCGUGGAUCAGCAUGCCACGGUGAAUACGUUCCCGGGCCUU
This 466-nucleotide ribosomal RNA is filed under the name uncultured Desulfobulbus sp. RNAcentral's name for it is "bacterial SSU rRNA". It matches the Rfam family "Bacterial small subunit ribosomal RNA", at positions 923 to 1382 of the family's 1533-position model. Lineage: Bacteria; Pseudomonadati; Thermodesulfobacteriota; Desulfobulbia; Desulfobulbales; Desulfobulbaceae. The record is from RNAcentral.